CAGUCGCCGCGGGAAUACAGAGGGUGCGAGCGUUAAUCGGAUUUACUGGGCGUAAAGCGUGCGUAGGCGGCUUCUUAAGUCGGAUGUGAAAUCCCUGAGCUUAACUUAGGAAUUGCAUUCGAUACUGGGAAGCUAGAGUAUGGGAGAGGAUGGUAGAAUUCCAGGUGUAGCGGUGAAAUGCGUAGAGAUCUGGAGGAAUACCGAUGGCGAAGGCAGCCAUCUGGCCUAAUACUGACGCUGAGGUACGAAAGCAUGGGGAGCAAACAGGAUUAGAGACCCCCGUAGUCCCUGUCUCUUAUAA
RNAcentral lists this ribosomal RNA (301 nucleotides) under uncultured bacterium. RNAcentral's name for it is "partial 16S ribosomal RNA". It matches the Rfam family "Bacterial small subunit ribosomal RNA", at positions 509 to 809 of the family's 1533-position model. The record is from RNAcentral.